UACGUAGGGGCCUAGCGUUGUCCGGAUUUAUUGGGCGUAAAGAGCUCGUAGGCGGUUCGGUAAGUCAGGUGUGAAAUCUCCACGCUCAACGUGGAGGAGCCACCUGAUACUGCCGUGACUUGAGUCCGGUAGGGGAGUGUGGAAUUCCCGGUGUAGCGGUGAAAUGCGCAGAUAUCAGGAGGAACACCGGUGGCGAAGGCGGGUCUCUGGGCCUUACCUGACGCUGAGGCGCGAAAGCUAGGGGAGCGAACAGG
RNAcentral lists this ribosomal RNA (254 nucleotides) under uncultured bacterium. Its description in RNAcentral is "partial 16S ribosomal RNA". It matches the Rfam family "Bacterial small subunit ribosomal RNA", at positions 524 to 776 of the family's 1533-position model. The record is from RNAcentral.